Molecule: long non-coding RNA, 1029 nt
Organism: Pseudophryne corroboree (corroboree frog)
Lineage: Eukaryota; Metazoa; Chordata; Amphibia; Anura; Myobatrachidae
Exons: 4
Source: RefSeq, a predicted model, not a curated record
GUGCGCGUGUCCCGCUCUCCUCCCCUGUGCGGCGGAUGAGGGGGGCACGGGGCGCACAUUCCCCCUCCGCUCACAUGUGUUACCCGGGCAACCAUCCAAUAAUGAGCAUAUAAACGCCUCAACAAGGCUAGGUGUCACCGCGCAUCCUCUUCUUUGUGUCCGGAGCAAGUACCAGCUGAAAGCGGCUCUGUCCCUGCUUGUGCCAGCCACUGCAUGCACGUAGCUCGUGAAUAGUGAUGUACCAGGGACAGCCCUGACCGGUGACAUGCCACGGCUGCUGGGGGGCGAAGUAAGCUCUUUGCCGUGAUAUUGUUGUAUAUCACAGGGACAUGGGUGUGCUACAGGCCGCACACUGAGUGCAGAUGGAGGCAGGGAAAUGAGUAGCGCUGCUGCAGUGCAUGGGCUGCGGGAGAGAUGCUGUCAGUUAUCGUGAUCUCUUGUAGCUACAUUUUGAAAAUUGCCGAAAUAUUAAAAUGGAAAUGCGCUAACUAAUGAAGAGUGGUCCAAAAUUGGUACAGUAAAGGGAUACAGUUAAGAUGCCGACGGCAGAAUACCAACAGCCAUCAGAAUGCCAAUGCUGGAAUCCCAACAGGGUCAGGAGACUGAUGUAGGAAUCUUGACAGCUGGCAUCCCAACUAGUGGGAGAUUGUGGAUUACAUUUGGAAACCCUCAUCCAGAAAUACUGCGUUUGCCACUGAACCGUAUUAUCAGACCUUAUCGCAUCCCACUUUGCAGAAUCACUGGAGAAGCGGGCGGGAUUCAGGAUGAAUUUGUACAUUCCUGGAAGUUGGGAGACCUCCCUCAAAUUUGGGAUUCAACAAUGAAAUUCUAGGGAAGUAUGGUUUUGUACCCCGGUACGCAGUUACUAAGGACAUGUGAUGGCUCCAGUGGGCCUCUAUAUUCUUUUCUGGGCGGCAGCUUCACUUGCAAUGAUUAGUAGUUCUAUAGCCUGUAAAAUCGCAGCUGCAUAGACGUGUGUACAAACAUGAAUUAGGCCCAUUGUUCAAUAAAAAUUAAGCUUUAACAUAG